CACGUAGGGUGCGAGCGUUGUCCGGAAUUAUUGGGCGUAAAGAGCUCGUAGGCGGUGUGUCGCGUCGGCCGUGAAAACCUGCAGCUUAACUGUGGGCUUGCGGUCGAUACGGGCAUCACUGGAGUUCGGCAGGGGAGACUGGAAUUCCUGGUGUAGCGGUGAAAUGCGCAGAUAUCAGGAGGAACACCCGUAGCGAAGGCGGCACUCUGGGCCGAUACUGACACUGAGGAGCGAAAGCGUGGGGAGCGAACAGG
Molecule: ribosomal RNA, 254 nt
Filed under: uncultured bacterium
Lineage: Bacteria
Description: partial 16S ribosomal RNA
Rfam family: Bacterial small subunit ribosomal RNA
Source: RNAcentral